RNAcentral lists this unclassified non-coding RNA (210 nucleotides) under uncultured Ascomycota. RNAcentral's name for it is "sequence contains ITS1". Lineage: Eukaryota; Fungi; Ascomycota. The record is from RNAcentral.
CACAAAGAAUAUGCAGGCUGCACGCGGCUGUGUGCCCUCUCUCUCUCGGGGGAGAGGGCGCGCCAGUUGGCGGAAGGCUGAAUUAUUUUUCACCCAUGUCUUUUGCGCACUUGUUGUUUCCUGGGCGGGUUCGCCCGCCACCAGGACCACACCCUAAACCUUUUUAUGCAGUUGCAAUCAGCGUCAGUAUAACCAAUGUAAAAUCAUUUA